RNAcentral lists this ribosomal RNA (373 nucleotides) under Macaca mulatta (Rhesus monkey). Its description in RNAcentral is "partial 12S ribosomal RNA". It matches the Rfam family "Bacterial small subunit ribosomal RNA", at positions 801 to 1381 of the family's 1533-position model. Lineage: Eukaryota; Metazoa; Chordata; Mammalia; Primates; Cercopithecidae. The record is from RNAcentral.
CCUCAGUAGUUAGAUAACAAAACUACUCGCCAGAAUACUACGAGCUACAGCUUAAAACUCAAAGGACUUGACGGUGCUUUACACCCCCUAGAGGAGCCUGUUCCGUAAUCGAUAAACCCCGAUCCACCCCACCCUCUCUUGCUCAGCCUAUAUACCGCCAUCUUCAGCAAACCCCAAUGAAGGUCACAAAGUGAGCGCAAACGCCACCACCGCGAAUACGUUAGGUCAAGGUGUAGCCUAUGAGAUGGUAAAAAAUGGGCUACAUUUUCUACCUCAGAAAAUUCCACGAAAGCCCUUAUGAAAUUUAAGGACCCAAGGAGGAUUUAGCAGUAAAUUAAGAAUAGAGUGCUUAAUUGAACUAGGCCAUAAAGCG